Molecule: ribosomal RNA, 552 nt
Filed under: uncultured bacterium
Lineage: Bacteria
Description: bacterial SSU rRNA
Rfam family: Bacterial small subunit ribosomal RNA
Source: RNAcentral
ACGGUACCGUAAGAAUAAGCACCGGCUAACUACGUGCCAGCAGCCGCGGUAAUACGUAGGGUGCAAGCGUUAAUCGGAAUUACUGGGCGUAAAGCGUGCGCAGGCGGUUUUGUAAGACAGAGGUGAAAUCCCCGGGCUCAACCUGGGAACUGCCUUUGUGACUGCAAGGCUGGAGUGCGGCAGAGGGGGAUGGAAUUCCGCGUGUAGCAGUGAAAUGCGUAGAUAUGCGGAGGAACACCGAUGGCGAAGGCAAUCCCCUGGGCCUGCACUGACGCUCAUGCACGAAAGCGUGGGGAGCAAACAGGAUUAGAUACCCUGGUAGUCCACGCCCUAAACGAUGUCAACUGGUUGUUGGGAAUUCAUUUUCUCAGUAACGAAGCUAACGCGUGAAGUUGACCGCCUGGGGAGUACGGCCGCAAGGUUAAAACUCAAAGGAAUUGACGGGGACCCGCACAAGCGGUGGAUGAUGUGGUUUAAUUCGAUGCAACGCGAAAAACCUUACCCACCUUUGACAUGUACGGAAUCCUGCAGAGACGCAGGAGUGCUCGAAAG